RNAcentral lists this ribosomal RNA (492 nucleotides) under uncultured bacterium. Its description in RNAcentral is "partial 16S ribosomal RNA". It matches the Rfam family "Bacterial small subunit ribosomal RNA", at positions 29 to 507 of the family's 1533-position model. The record is from RNAcentral.
AGUGAACGCUGGCGGUAGGCCUAACACAUGCAAGUCGAACGGCAGCACAGUAAGAGCUUGCUCUUACGGGUGGCGAGUGGCGGACGGGUAAGGAAUACAUCGGAAUCUACUUUUUCGUGGGGGAUAACGUAGGGAAACUUACGCUAAUACCGCAUACGACCUACAGGUGAAAGCAGGGGAUCUUCGGACCUUGCGCGAUUGAAUGAGCCGAUGUCGGAUUAGCUAGUUGGCGGGGUAAAGGCCCACCAAGGCGACGAUCCGUAGCUGGUCUGAGAGGAUGAUCAGCCACACUGGAACUGAGACACGGUCCAGACUCCUACGGGAGGCAGCAGUGGGGAAUAUUGGACAAUGGGCGCAAGCCUGAUCCAGCCAUACCGCGUGGGUGAAGAAGGCCUUCGGGUUGUAAAGCCCUUUUGUUGGGAAAGAAAAGCAGCAGGUUAAUACCCCGCUGUUCUGACGGUACCCAAAGAAUAAGCACCGGCUAACUUCGUG